GCUGAACGCUGGCGGCGUGCUUAACACAUGCAAGUUGAACGAAGUGGCGGAUGGGCGAGUAACACGUGAGGAACCUUCCUUUAACAGGGGAAUAACACUGGGAAACAAGUGCUAAUACCGAUUAGUGAAAGAUGGCCGCGGGCCUGAUUAGCUAGGAGGUGAGGUAACGGCUCACCUAGGUGAUGAUCAGUAGCCGGACUGGAGGUUGAUCGGCCGCGUUGGGACUGAGACACGGCCCAGACUCCUACGGGAGGCAGCAGUGGGGAAUAUUGGGGAAUGGUGCAAGGCUGAUCCAGCAACGCCGCGUGAAGGAAGACGGUCUUCGGAUUGUAAACCUCUUUCCAUCGAACAGGGUAGGUGGAGAAGAAGCGCCGGCUAACUACGUGCCAGCAGCCGCGGUAAUAC
RNAcentral lists this ribosomal RNA (405 nucleotides) under uncultured bacterium. Its description in RNAcentral is "partial 16S ribosomal RNA". It matches the Rfam family "Bacterial small subunit ribosomal RNA", at positions 28 to 526 of the family's 1533-position model. The record is from RNAcentral.